RNAcentral lists this ribosomal RNA (1107 nucleotides) under Escherichia coli. RNAcentral's name for it is "partial 23S ribosomal RNA". It matches the Rfam family "Bacterial large subunit ribosomal RNA", at positions 418 to 1529 of the family's 2925-position model. The record is from RNAcentral. Lineage: Bacteria; Pseudomonadati; Pseudomonadota; Gammaproteobacteria; Enterobacterales; Enterobacteriaceae.
CGGGACACGUGGUAUCCUGUCUGAAUAUGGGGGGACCAUCCUCCAAGGCUAAAUACUCCUGACUGACCGAUAGUGAACCAGUACCGUGAGGGAAAGGCGAAAAGAACCCCGGCGAGGGGAGUGAAAAAGAACCUGAAACCGUGUACGUACAAGCAGUGGGAGCACGCUUAGGCGUGUGACUGCGUACCUUUUGUAUAAUGGGUCAGCGACUUAUAUUCUGUAGCAAGGUUAACCGAAUAGGGGAGCCGAAGGGAAACCGAGUCUUAACUGGGCGUUAAGUUGCAGGGUAUAGACCCGAAACCCGGUGAUCUAGCCAUGGGCAGGUUGAAGGUUGGGUAACACUAACUGGAGGACCGAACCGACUAAUGUUGAAAAAUUAGCGGAUGACUUGUGGCUGGGGGUGAAAGGCCAAUCAAACCGGGAGAUAGCUGGUUCUCCCCGAAAGCUAUUUAGGUAGCGCCUCGUGAAUUCAUCUCCGGGGGUAGAGCACUGUUUCGGCAAGGGGGUCAUCCCGACUUACCAACCCGAUGCAAACUGCGAAUACCGGAGAAUGUUAUCACGGGAGACACACGGCGGGUGCUAACGUCCGUCGUGAAGAGGGAAACAACCCAGACCGCCAGCUAAGGUCCCAAAGUCAUGGUUAAGUGGGAAACGAUGUGGGAAGGCCCAGACAGCCAGGAUGUUGGCUUAGAAGCAGCCAUCAUUUAAAGAAAGCGUAAUAGCUCACUGGUCGAGUCGGCCUGCGCGGAAGAUGUAACGGGGCUAAACCAUGCACCGAAGCUGCGGCAGCGACGCUUAUGCGUUGUUGGGUAGGGGAGCGUUCUGUAAGCCUGUGAAGGUGUACUGUGAGGUAUGCUGGAGGUAUCAGAAGUGCGAAUGCUGACAUAAGUAACGAUAAAGCGGGUGAAAAGCCCGCUCGCCGGAAGACCAAGGGUUCCUGUCCAACGUUAAUCGGGGCAGGGUGAGUCGACCCCUAAGGCGAGGCCGAAAGGCGUAGUCGAUGGGAAACAGGUUAAUAUUCCUGUACUUGGUGUUACUGCGAAGGGGGGACGGAGAAGGCUAUGUUGGCCGGGCGACGGUUGUCCCGGUUUAAGCGUGUAGGCUGGU